This 570-nucleotide ribosomal RNA is filed under the name Dysidea sp. DE-2012. Its description in RNAcentral is "eukaryotic LSU rRNA". The stretch from base 220 to 570 matches the Rfam family "Eukaryotic large subunit ribosomal RNA", at positions 1 to 346 of the family's 3401-position model. Lineage: Eukaryota; Metazoa; Porifera; Demospongiae; Dictyoceratida; Dysideidae. The record is from RNAcentral.
UGUCCGAGCGUCUGCCAACCGUGAGUCGUCGCCAUGGCGCGACGAGAAUGGGGAACUGCGGCGUGCAAUGUGCGCCGCACUCCCUGAAGAUUUGAGGACCGGUGCGGUUUCCCGCCGUACGAGACGGUCUGCGACAACGGCGCACAGUGUUGUCGUUCCGUGCUCGUGCAGGUCGGGGCGAGUGCCGGUCGGACGCGAUCAGGUGGUGUCUGCCAAUCUGGACCUCGGAUCAGGCCAGGCUACCCGCUGAAUUUAAGCAUAUCAAUAAGCGGAGGAAAAGAAACUAACAAGGAUUCCCUUAGUAACGGCGAGCGAAGCGGGAAUAGCUCAAAUUUGAAAUCUCCGGUGCCUGCACCGGCGAAUUGUAGUCUGUAGGGCCAGUUUCGCCCGACGCGGUGUCCCCAAAGUCGUCCUGGAAAGGCGGGCCGGAGAGGGUGAGAGCCCCGUGUGCGGGGGCGUCGCGGAAGGUAAGAUCUGUGCCCGAAGAGUCGGGUUGUUUGGGAUUGCAGCCCAAAAUGGGUGGUAAACUCCAUCUAAAGCUAAAUACUGGCACGAGACCGAUAGCGAACA